Molecule: unclassified non-coding RNA, 167 nt
Filed under: soil metagenome
Description: partial internal transcribed spacer 1
Source: RNAcentral
GUGAAUUAAACAUGCUUGGUGUCUUCGCUUCGGCAAGGCCCUUGCUUAAAUCACAUCCUAACACCUGUGAACUGUAAGACGUAUGAUGAGGUCUUCGGCCAAGUCAUCGUCUGCCCAUUUUUAACAAACAAUUAAUGUAACAAACGUAGUCUUAUUAUAACCUAAUA